RNAcentral lists this ribosomal RNA (447 nucleotides) under uncultured bacterium. RNAcentral's name for it is "partial 16S ribosomal RNA". It matches the Rfam family "Bacterial small subunit ribosomal RNA", at positions 29 to 523 of the family's 1533-position model. The record is from RNAcentral.
AACGAACGCUGGCGGCAGGCUUAACACAUGCAAGUCGAGCGCGUAGCAAUACGAGCGGCAGACGGGUGAGUAACGCGUGGGAAUCUACCGAGCCCUAAGGAAUAGCUCCGGGAAACUGGAAUUAAUACCUUAUACGCCCUUUGGGGGAAAGAUUUAUCGGGGUUUGAUGAGCCCGCGUUGGAUUAGCUAGUUGGUGGGGUAAAGGCCUACCAAGGCGACGAUCCAUAGCUGGUCUGAGAGGAUGAUCAGCCACAUUGGGACUGAGACACGGCCCAAACUCCUACGGGAGGCAGCAGUGGGGAAUAUUGGACAAUGGGCGCAAGCCUGAUCCAGCCAUGCCGCGUGAGUGAUGAAGGCCCUAGGGUUGUAAAGCUCUUUCACCGGUGAAGAUAAUGACGGUAACCGGAGAAGAAGCCCCGGCUAACUUCGUGCCAGCCGCCGCAGUAA